RNAcentral lists this ribosomal RNA (496 nucleotides) under uncultured bacterium. RNAcentral's name for it is "partial 16S ribosomal RNA". It matches the Rfam family "Bacterial small subunit ribosomal RNA", at positions 29 to 507 of the family's 1533-position model. The record is from RNAcentral.
AUGCACGCUGGCGGCGUGCCUAAUACAUGCAAGUCGCGCGAACAGACGAGGAGCUUGCUCCUCUGACGUUAGCGGCGGACGGGUGAGUAACACGUGGAUAACCUACCUAUAAGACUGGGAUAACUUCGGGAAACCGGAGCUAAUACCGGAUAAUAUAUUGAACCGCAUGGUUCAAUAGUGAAAGACGGUUUUGCUGUCACUUAUAGAUGGAUCCGCGCCGCAUUAGCUAGUUGGUAAGGUAACGGCUUACCAAGGCAACGAUGCGUAGCCGACCUGAGAGGGUGAUCGGCCACACUGGAACUGAGACACGGUCCAGACUCCUACGGGAGGCAGCAGUAGGGAAUCUUCCGCAAUGGGCGAAAGCCUGACGGAGCAACGCCGCGUGAGUGAUGAAGGUCUUCGGAUCGUAAAACUCUGUUAUUAGGGAAGAGCAAAUGUGUAAGUAACUAUGCACGUCUUGACGGUACCUAAUCAGAAAGCCACGGCUAACUACGUG